This 37-nucleotide ribosomal RNA is filed under the name Ganoderma sp. E7096. Its description in RNAcentral is "partial 26S ribosomal RNA". The record is from RNAcentral. Lineage: Eukaryota; Fungi; Basidiomycota; Agaricomycetes; Polyporales; Polyporaceae.
UGACCUCUGACCUCAAAUCAGGUAGGACUACCCGCUG